CCAUUGCUAAUAUUGACUCUAGCUGCUUCAGCAUAAACUGUGCUUUCUUUCAUCUCUUGAUUACUGUACUCUGAAUCAUGAUUUUUUUGACUGAUCUUGAAAUAACAGGCUGAAAUAAUUAUAGAUUGGUGCAGUGCUGAUCUGUUAUACAACCAUUUUGUCUGUGCUGCAGGCUGUGCAGGACCACCUGUGCUGUGCUGCUCUGGUCAAAACAACUCCUGUUUCAGGACCUGUUACUGUGAUGAGCACUGCACAAAUGUUGGAGACUGCUGUGAUGACUACAACACAACCUGCACACAACCGUCUACUCUUGCAACGCCAGGAGGACCCACCAGAAGCAGCAGUGCUGGGCUGACAUCUACACCAGCAACUUCAGCAACAACAGUCUUGUCAGCAGCAUCACCCAGUGCAACAUCUGCAGUGCUGAAUGUGAACACAACCUUAGCAUCUACAGUCUCUGGAACUGCAGCCACUGGCCAUAUCAGCAACAGCAUGUCUAUACCGGCAGAUAACAGCACAUCCUCAUCAGUCUCAGUGACAACAGGACCACGCACAACAAACAGCAAUACUUCCAGUACCAACAAAACAUUAGCAUCGACAGUCUCUGGUACCACAAAACCCAGCACGACUGGCAGCACUGUGACAUCUACACUGGCAAGUAUUUCCACAACUUCAUCAUCAGCAGUCUCGGCAACAGCACCCAAUACAACAUCUGCAGUGUUGAAUGUGAGCUCAACCUCGGUCUCUACAUUCACUGCUACUACAGCAACCAGCCAAACAAGCAGCAGUAUAUCUACACAAACAGAUAACAGCACAACUAACACCAAUACUAACUCAACACCAGCAGAUAUUAGAACAAAUUCAUCAUCCGCAGUCUCACCAAUAACGGUAACCAGUAGAGCAUCUGCAGGAUCAAAUGUGAGCAACACCUCAGCCUCCACGGUCUCUACAGCAACCAGUCAAACAAGGAUCAGUACAUCUACACUAAUAGAUAACAACAAAACUUUAUCAGCUACUGGAACAACAACAACAAACACCACAAACAGCAAUACUACCACUACGCAAGCAGAUAUCAGAGCAACUUCAAUAUCCACAGCAUCUGAAACAACACAGCCAAGCACAACAAACAGUAAUAUAUCUACACCAGUAGAUGUCAGCACAGCAUCAACUACAAUCUCUACUACUCCAGCACCCUCCCCAAUAAACAGCACUACUACCACGACGCAAGCAGAUGGAAGCACAACUUCAUCAUCGCCAGUCUCUCUUACUACGGUGCCCACACAAUCUACAUCAACCAGUACAAGCCCAUCUUUGUCGUCCACGCUCUCUUCAACGACACCGCCCAGUAUGACCAGCAGCAGAACAGCAGCAGUAGAUGAGAGCACAACCUCAACUACAGCAUCUACCAAAGAAAGCAUCAGUUCUACAUCUAAACCAUUAGAUGGCCUCACAACUUCAGCACCCACAGCUCCAGCAGGAACAACACUGGCAGAAACAAGUACAACUCUGGAUGCCAGUAGUGUCACGUCUUCACCAGCAGAUGGAAGCAAAUCUGGAGCUUUGAAGAAAAACACAGAUUCCAGGACCACCACCAGCUCAGAUGGCCAAACACUGACUGUUCACCUAAAGGUUUCUGUCUUAACCAGUAACAAGGACAAGACUGCGCUGCUGGAAGCUUUAUCUAAUUUUGUAUCCCAGAAACUACUCCAGGACUGUGAUGGCUGCACUGCGAUUAUUAGAAGCAUCAACCUGAGAAACGGAGAAAAGUAA
RNAcentral lists this long non-coding RNA (1770 nucleotides) under Sparus aurata (gilthead seabream). Its description in RNAcentral is "lncRNA (ENSSAUG00010022384.1)". The record is from RNAcentral. Lineage: Eukaryota; Metazoa; Chordata; Actinopteri; Spariformes; Sparidae.